Molecule: small RNA, 160 nt
Filed under: Enterococcus mundtii
Lineage: Bacteria; Bacillati; Bacillota; Bacilli; Lactobacillales; Enterococcaceae
Description: Listeria sRNA rli28
Rfam family: Listeria sRNA rli28
Source: RNAcentral
CUGUUUGUGGUUGAUAGGAGAAAUGAAAAGAUGGUGGCUAAUCUCUUGAAAAAAGGGUGAUGCCUAUGGUUCAUAGAGGGGGUAGGCAAGUGUCAAGUUUUGAAGCAAUGCAACUGAUGAUCGCUUUUGCGACGUUAGUUUUGCUGAUUAUUGACCAUAA